CACGUAGGGCGCAAGCGUUGUCCGGAAUUAUUGGGCGUAAAGAGCUCGUAGGCGGUCUGUUGCGUCCGCUGUGAAAACUCGGGGCUUAACCCCGUGCCUGCAGUGGAUACGGGCAGACUAGAGGUAGGUAGGGGAGAAUGGAAUUCCCGGUGUAGCGGUGAAAUGCGCAGAUAUCGGGAGGAACACCGGUGGCGAAGGCGGUUCUCUGGGCCUUACCUGACGCUGAGGAGCGAAAGCGUGGGGAGCGAACAGG
RNAcentral lists this ribosomal RNA (253 nucleotides) under uncultured bacterium. RNAcentral describes it as "partial 16S ribosomal RNA". It matches the Rfam family "Bacterial small subunit ribosomal RNA", at positions 524 to 776 of the family's 1533-position model. The record is from RNAcentral.